Molecule: long non-coding RNA, 408 nt
Filed under: Struthio camelus australis
Lineage: Eukaryota; Metazoa; Chordata; Aves; Struthioniformes; Struthionidae
Description: lncRNA (ENSSCUG00000010545.1)
Source: RNAcentral
CUGCAAGUUUGUACUUUGUGUUCCUUUCAAAGUUAAAGACUAGUACCAUUAGUACUGAAAGUAAAGAUUAGUGCUUUCAAACCUCUUGACAGAGGACCAUGGUCUUUAAUGAAGUUUUCUUUUUCCUUUGUUAAAUUCUAGCUUCACAGUCCUAUUGUUCAAAAAAUGGUUAACCAAAGAAAGCAGUUGUUAUGCUGCUUCUUGGGACGCUUUCAAGGAAGUAGAUGGUGACCCAUCAUCUUACCGACUUUUGGGCAACGUUGCUGAUCUUAAAUUUCAAGAAAAUAAAGAAGAAUUUACAAAUUUACACAUGGCAUGUAUGGCAGAGGAAAGGGAUAUCUUCCAUUCCAGGAAGAAUGUGAAUGCGAUGAUCAGGUAGAGGCUUGGCUGCAACAACUUGAAGAAACU